This 407-nucleotide long non-coding RNA is filed under the name Monodelphis domestica (gray short-tailed opossum). RNAcentral describes it as "lncRNA (ENSMODG00000030031.2)". Lineage: Eukaryota; Metazoa; Chordata; Mammalia; Didelphimorphia; Didelphidae. The record is from RNAcentral.
UGGGGAGUAUCAGUUGCUGACAGUUAAGGCUGGCAGUUUCAGGAAGUUGGUUGCUGGGGUUUGAAGACAUUCCUUGAGAGUUGACUUAGUCAGAGAACUAAGGAGUGAGAAUGAAGUCACUUUUCAUCAUUAUCUGAAUUAAAAAGCAGCCAUCAGAAGAUGGGGAUACAGUCAGACACUUAGCUGGUAAAUAGGAAUGGGAGUUUUACUAAGCAUCUUCAUACAGAUGAAAAGGGACAAUUUAUAUACAGAAGAAAUAUUGGGACAUAGAGAUGACAACUUCCUUGCUUGGAGUUAUCUAGACUAAAGGUAUUUCUCUCCUGCAUUGUGCUUUGGAAUAUUGUAUUGACUUCAAUGUCAAUGAGUUUAAGAACUCAUCCAUUUGAGUACCCCACCACUACCAAUGG